Molecule: transfer RNA, 72 nt
Filed under: Ornithorhynchus anatinus (platypus)
Lineage: Eukaryota; Metazoa; Chordata; Mammalia; Monotremata; Ornithorhynchidae
Rfam family: tRNA
About the family: Transfer RNA (tRNA) molecules are approximately 80 nucleotides in length.
Source: Rfam by way of RNAcentral
AGCAGCAUGGCUCAGUGGAAAGAGCACUGCUGUGGGAGUCAGAGGUCAUGGGUUCAAGUCCCAGUUCAGCCA